CCAUGUCUUUUGAGUACCUUCGUUUCCUCGGCGGGUCCGCCCGCCGAUUGGACAAUUUAAACCAUUUGCAGUUGCAAUCAGCGUCUGAAAAAACUUAAUAGUUACAACUUUCAACAACGGAUCUCUUGGUUCUGGCAUCGAUGAAGAACGCAGCGAAAUGCGAUAAGUAGUGUGAAUUGCAGAAUUCAGUGAAUCAUCGAAUCUUUGAACGCACAUUGCGCCCCUUGGUAUUCCAUGGGGCAUGCCUGUUCGAGCGUCAUUUGUACCUUCAAGCUCUGCUUGGUGUUGGGUGUUUGUCUCGCCUCUGCGCGUAGACUCGCCUCAAAACAAUUGGCAGCCGGCGUAUUGAUUUCGGAGCGCAGUACAUCUCGCGCUUUGCACUCAUAACGACGACGUCCAAAAGUACAUUUUUACACUCUUGACCUCGGAUCAGGUAGGGAUACCCGCUGAACUUAAGCAUAUCAAAACG
RNAcentral lists this ribosomal RNA (469 nucleotides) under Alternaria sesami. RNAcentral's name for it is "eukaryotic LSU rRNA". The stretch from base 106 to 259 matches the Rfam family "5.8S ribosomal RNA". The record is from RNAcentral. Lineage: Eukaryota; Fungi; Ascomycota; Dothideomycetes; Pleosporales; Pleosporaceae.